Pangasius djambal is the source of this 73-nucleotide non-coding RNA. Lineage: Eukaryota; Metazoa; Chordata; Actinopteri; Siluriformes; Pangasiidae. The record is from the annotation of a GenBank genome assembly.
UCCCUGGUGGUCUAAUGGCUAAGGAUCCUGUGCUCGCCCCACCGCAGCCCGGGUUUGAUUCCUGGGUAGGGAA